RNAcentral lists this long non-coding RNA (393 nucleotides) under Oryzias sinensis (Chinese medaka). Its description in RNAcentral is "lncRNA (ENSOSIG00000020195.1)". The record is from RNAcentral. Lineage: Eukaryota; Metazoa; Chordata; Actinopteri; Beloniformes; Adrianichthyidae.
AAAAUGGAAACGAAGGAGGUAUGUUUUCAAAUACCCAAAUUCACAGACACAUCUUCAUUUUUAAUUGAUUUAUAUUAUGGAGAAAUAGUAGACUUUGAUGACAUUCACAGGAAACGAAUGGAGAAAGAUCUGAUAGAACUUCAGUCGCUGAUUGAAUCACACUUUGAGAAACGCAAGAAGGAGGAAGAGGAGCUCAUCAGUCUCACAGACCGUAUUGAGAAACGCAGGUCAGAAAGAGCUGAGCAGAUGAAGAUCAGGGCAGAGAGGGAAAGGGAACGGCACAACAAACAACAAAAGUACGAGCAUACACAAUUAAAACCUGAACGAACCAGAAUGCUUAGGAAAUGUAUUAUUAAAAUGUUUGAAUCCUCACCUAUGGGGUCACAGAUAUAG